Molecule: ribosomal RNA, 870 nt
Filed under: Pedobacter sp. yelcho2
Lineage: Bacteria; Pseudomonadati; Bacteroidota; Sphingobacteriia; Sphingobacteriales; Sphingobacteriaceae
Description: bacterial SSU rRNA
Rfam family: Bacterial small subunit ribosomal RNA
Source: RNAcentral
AGUGGCGCAGGGGGUGCGUAACGCGAUAUGCUACCUACCUUAAUCUGGGGGAUAGCCCGAAGAAAUUCGGAUUAACACCGCACAAAAACACAGGAUAGCAUUAUCCGAUGUUCAAAUAUUUAUAGGAUUGAGAUGGGCAUGCGUGUCAUUAGCUAGUUGGCGGGGUAACGGCCCACCAAGGCGACCANUACGAGGGGAUCUGAAAGGAUGACCCCCCACACUGGUACUGAAACACGGACCAGACUCCUACGGGAGGCAGCAGUAAGGAAUAUUGGUCNAUGGAGGCAACUCUUAACCAGCCAUGCCGCGUGCAGGAAGACUGCCCUAUGGGUUGUAAACUGCUUUUAUCUGGGAAUAAACCUUUCUACGUGUAGGACGCUGAAUGUACCAUAAGAAUAAGGAUCGGCUAACUCCGUGCCAGCAGCCGCGGUAAUACGGAGGAUCCAAGCGUUAUCCGGAUUUAUUGUUUUUAAAGGGUGCGUAAGCGGCCUGUUAACUCAGAGGUGAAAGACGGUACCUCAACUAUCGCAUNGCCUUUGAUACUGAUGGGCUUGAAUGAACUAAAGGUAGGCGGAAUGAGACUUCUAGCGGUGAAAUGCAUAUAUAUGUCUCACAACACCGAUNGCGAAGGCAGCUUACUAUGGUUUUAUUGACACUGAGGCNCGAAAGCGUGGGGAUCAAACAGGAUUAGAUACCCUGGUAGUCCACGCCCUAAACGAUGAACACUCGCUGUUGGCGAUACACACUCUGCGGCUAAGCGAAAGCGUUAAGUGUUCCACCUGGAGAGUACGGUCGCAAGAUUGAAACUCAUAGGAAUUGACUGAGGUCCGCACAANCNGAAGAACAUGUGGUUUAAUUCGAUGAUACGCG